AGAUUGAACGCUGGCGGCAUGCCUUACACAUGCAAGUCGAACGGCAGCACGGGGGCAACCCUGGUGGCGAGUGGCGAACGGGUGAGUAAUGCAUCGGAACGUGCCCAGUAGUGGGGGGAUAACUAGUCGAAAGAUUAGCUAAUACCGCAUACGACCUAAGGGUGAAAGCGGGGGAUUCGCAAGAACCUCGCGCUAUCGGAGCGGCCGAUGUCUGAUUAGCUAGUUGGCGGGUAAAGCCCACCAAGGCUUCGAUCAGUAGCUGGUCUGAGAGGACGACCAGCCACACGUGGGACUGAGACACGGCCCAGACUCCGUACGGGAGCAGCAGUAGGGAAUUUUGGAACAAGUGGGCGACGAAGCCUAGGACUCCAGCCAAGUCGCCGCGUGGACGGGAAGAACGGUCCGUUCGGUUA
RNAcentral lists this ribosomal RNA (413 nucleotides) under uncultured soil bacterium. RNAcentral's name for it is "bacterial SSU rRNA". It matches the Rfam family "Bacterial small subunit ribosomal RNA", at positions 26 to 428 of the family's 1533-position model. The record is from RNAcentral.